AAAGAUCUCGAUGACAAGAUGACAAACGAUAUUUUCUAAUAAAUUCUUUUUAUAAUUAUUAAUUUCUUUUUUAUUUCUUGAGAUUUAAUACUUGAGUAUAAAGUUUGCAAUAUUAGAGGCAACCACGGUACUCGCAGGUUAUUUUAUUUGGCCUGUAUAUGAAGUAAAUACCGACAAUCUAAAUAUUUAUUUUCAAACACCCCACAUUAUAAAAUUUAUUAAUAAUAUCCAUUACACAUAGUCAUGUAUAACUUAAUUUCCAUUAUCUGUCCAUACAAUGUUAAAGUUAAAGAUAAAAAGCAGUCGUUGCUUUGCGGAAGCAAAACGCAUAUAAUUUUGAAAUUAUUCCGCGCAUCUACACCGCAGUUAUUGUUUGUUGAUAGACGUUUCCAAGUGUUACUCUGCAACAGCCGACAGCCAAGUUAAUAAUAUAAAGUAAUUAAGCCACAUAAGUUACAGAUUGUUACCUUAUGUUAUGUUGCAUUUUGUUGCUCCACAAAAGUUAACUGCGGUGUGGAUACACGGUAAGGCGAUUAAGAAUAUCUAGAAGAAACAAGAACUGCAGUUAUGGGUCGACCGAUAUGGGUAUUCUGGAAACAUGAAAUAUAGAAUCAGGUCGAAGACGUGAAAUAAAUCCAAAAAUGAAUUCAUUGUCUAGCCACUCGUAAACUCGUACUAAGGGUACUCUUAGUACGAGUUUGCUUUACGUUUAAAGUUACAGGACAUUGUGCCUGAACGCAAGGUGUAUUCGAGUUAUUUCCAAUACUUUAUUCUCCACACGCGUAACAACGCGCGCGUGCUAAUUUUUCAAUCUGUGAUAUCACCUUCAUUCUGCUCGCUGCGUAUUGCAGCAAGUCAGCACUAAUCUUAAGAAUUACAAAAAUCUAUAAUAGCUCAUCGAUAAAGGAAAACCAAUGUCAUUUUAGCUACAAUAAAACAUUAGAUAAGUUGGAUGACGGUGAGACGUAAAAUAUUGUGGUGCAGAAACAUGUGCGGUCUAAUAGGACUGACUUUUCUGAUAGUGAACGAAUUACUUUGGUGGAAACAAAAGUGUAUCAUUUGAAUUUAUUUUGUUUAACCGAUAAUUUAUUGUAAACCUUAUUAAAAAACACUUAAUACAAACACUCAAAAACUAA
This is a long non-coding RNA of Spodoptera frugiperda (fall armyworm), 1136 nucleotides long. RefSeq lists it as uncharacterized. The record is from RefSeq and is a predicted model, not a curated record. The transcript is spliced from 2 exons. Lineage: Eukaryota; Metazoa; Arthropoda; Insecta; Lepidoptera; Noctuidae.